This 490-nucleotide ribosomal RNA is filed under the name uncultured bacterium. RNAcentral describes it as "partial 16S ribosomal RNA". It matches the Rfam family "Bacterial small subunit ribosomal RNA", at positions 30 to 507 of the family's 1533-position model. The record is from RNAcentral.
AUUGAACGCUGGCGGCAUGCUUUACACAUGCAAGUCGAACGGCAGCACGAAAGAGCUUGCUCUUUUGGUGGCGAGUGGCCAACGGGUGAGUAAUGCAUCGGAACGUACCGAGUAAUGGGGGAUAACUGUCCGAAAGGAUAGCUAAUACCGCAUACGCUUUGAGAAGGAAAGUGGGGGCUCUUCGGACCUCACGUUAUUCGAGCGGCCGAUGUCUGAUUAGCUAGUUGGUGGGGUAAAGGCCUACCAAGGCGACGAUCAGUAGCGGGUCUGAGAGGAUGAUCCGCCACACUGGGACUGAGACACGGCCCAGACUCCUACGGGAGGCAGCAGUGGGGAAUUUUGGACAAUGGGCGCAAGCCUGAUCCAGCCAUGCCGCGUGUCUGAAGAAGGCCUUCGGGUUGUAAAGGACUUUUGUUAGGGAAGAAAAGGAUAGUGUUAAUACCAUUAUCUGCUGACGGUACCUAAAGAAUAAGCACCGGCUAACUACGUG